AUUGAACGCUGGCGGCAUGCCUUACACAUGCAAGUCGAACGGUAACAGGUCUUCGGAUGCUGACGAGUGGCGAGCGGGUGAGUAAUACAUCGGAACGUGCCCGAUCGUGGGGGAUAACGAAGCGAAAGCUUUGCUAAUACCGCAUACGAUCUAAGGAUGAAAGCAGGGGACCGCAAGGCCUUGCGCGAAAGGAGCGGCCGAUGGCAGAUUAGGUAGUUGGUGGGAUAAAAGCUUACCAAGCCGACGAUCUGUAGCUGGGCUGAGAGGACGACCAGCCACACUGGGACUGAGACACGGCCCAGACUCCUACGGGAGGCAGCAGUGGGGAAUUUUGGACAAUGGGCGAAAGCCUGAUCCAGCCAUGCCGCGUGCAGGAUGAAGGCCUUCGGGUUGUAAACUGCUUUUGUACGGAACGAAAGGACUCUGGUUAAUACCUGGGGUCCAUGACGGUACCGUAAGAAUAAGCACCGGCUAACUACGUGCCAGCCGCCGCCGUAA
This 498-nucleotide ribosomal RNA is filed under the name uncultured bacterium. Its description in RNAcentral is "partial 16S ribosomal RNA". It matches the Rfam family "Bacterial small subunit ribosomal RNA", at positions 30 to 523 of the family's 1533-position model. The record is from RNAcentral.